CCGGGGAGGAUGGAGGAAGGUCUGGGAAAGGGAGAGGAUGCGGGGAGGUCUGGGAGAGGAGACAAGGGAGGAUGGGGAAGUUCUGGGAGAGGGAGAGGAGACAGGGAAGGAUGGUGGAGGUCUGGGAGAGGGAGAGGAGACGGGGAGGAUGGAAAGAGCUCUCGGUGAGGUGAGGAGACAGGGGAGGAUGGGGGAAGUCUGAGAAAGGGGGAGGAUGCGGGGAGGUCUGGGAGAGGGAGAGGAGAUAGGGGAGGAUGGGAGGAGGUCUGGGAGAGGGGGAGGAUGCGGGGAGGUUUGGGAGAGGGAGAGGAGACAGGGGAGGAUGGGAGAAGGUCUGGGAGAGGGAGAGGAGACGGGGAGGAUGGGAGGAGGUCUGGGAGAGGGAACGGAGACGGGAGGAUGGGAGGAGGUCUGGGAGAGGGAAAGGAGACGGGAGGAUGGGAGAAGGUCUGGGAGAGGGAGAGGAGAUAGGGGAGGUUGGGAGGAGGUCUGGGAGAGGGGAGGAGACUGGUGAGGAUGGGGGAGGAAUGGGAAAGGAGACAGGGGAGGAUGGGCGAGGAAUGCGAAAGAAGACAGGGGAGAAUUGGGAGGGAGAGGGGGAGGAGAAGGUCUGUUGUGUCCUCCUACAUUGUGUGAUAGAACAUGUUGGGUUGCUCUGUAAAAGCGCUCUGUUGCUCCUACCACCCAUUUUGAGGACCAUGUAUGUGGAGUCACUGGAAAUGGUCAAUCCUAGUUUAUCCACUACUUGAUGGAUGGCCAUUUUCAUGAAGUUGUGUGUGUGUGCGUGUGCGUGUGCGCGUG
Molecule: long non-coding RNA, 801 nt
Organism: Oncorhynchus tshawytscha (Chinook salmon)
Lineage: Eukaryota; Metazoa; Chordata; Actinopteri; Salmoniformes; Salmonidae
Source: Ensembl